Molecule: ribosomal RNA, 301 nt
Filed under: uncultured bacterium
Lineage: Bacteria
Description: partial 16S ribosomal RNA
Rfam family: Bacterial small subunit ribosomal RNA
Source: RNAcentral
CAGCCGCCGCGGGAAUACGGAGGGGGCUAGCGUCGUUCGGAAUUACUGGGCGUAAAGCGCACGUAGGCGGAUAUUUAAGUCAGGGGUGAAAUCCCGCAGCUCAACUGCGGAACUGCCUUUGAUACUGGGUAUCUUGAGUAUGGAAGAGGUUAGUGGAAUUGCGAGUGUAGAGGUGAAAUUCGUAGAUAUUCGCAGGAACACCAGUGGCGAAGGCGGCUAACUGGUCCAUAACUGACGCUGAGGUGCGAAAGCGUGGGGAGCAAACAGGAUUAGAUACCCGUGUAGUCCCUGUCUCUUAUAC